This is a non-coding RNA of Coturnix japonica (Japanese quail), 791 nucleotides long. The record is from RefSeq and is a predicted model, not a curated record. NCBI's taxonomy places the organism in Eukaryota, Metazoa, Chordata, Aves, Galliformes, Phasianidae.
GCUUAUAUCUUUAGGUUACUGCUCUGAAGGAAAAAAAAAAAAGCUGAGCACGAGCUUGCAGGGAGGACAGGAAUAGAAGGAAGGGGGGAACGGCAAAGGAGGGCAGAGACAGAGCGAUGCAGGAUCCCGUUUUGUAGUGGAAGGCUGUCUGUGCGUGUGUGUCUUUCUAAAAGCCAAAGGGCUUUUUGCCUAGCUGAGUACCAUGGCCCUUCCUUUUCCACAAGGUUUAUGGGGUGCUGUGAUGGUCGUAACAUGCAGUUACAGUGGAGCCCUUGAAACAGGUUGGACUGAUGGGCUGAAGAAGAGUUUUCACCAGCCUGUAAAGCCCUUGGCUCUGGUGGCAGAAAGGGAACAUGUGGGCAGAGGGGACCAUGAGGAGAAUGGGCUGCUUUGUUUCUGCUCUAACAGAUGUGGAUUUGAGGUUAACAUUCAGCUGGAGCCAGAACUUCCAGAAGGAUGCAAUAGUUCUUAGAAGUUCUAAUAGUUCUAUAGAAGACCUGUGUUCCUCCAGCUGUGAGCCAUGGGCAGAGCUGAGAUGUGUUCUGCUUGUGUUUCUGCAACAGUGACAUGCUCAGGUGCCCGAAUUUGUUAAUCUACAUCUUCAGAUCUAUGAUCUUCUAUGGCAGGGACCAUCCCGAGUGCAAUUACAGGGAAACAGAGGGAUAAAGUGAAUGACCAGGAUGAGAAGUACCCAGAAUGCAAAGUACAGAAGAAGAAAGGAACAUUACCAGUGUGCCCAGUUAUAUGGCAGAUUCAGCUAAAAUUCAAAACCAUUUUAUAACGCUCUGAAA